UAGCAAUAAUAACUCGUUAGGCCCAAACAACCAGCCCAAAAUGCUUAAGCCCAAUUAUUAUUACUAGAGUGUAGGCCUCAUAUAAACUGAUCGGAAUCAGUAUCUUAUCUGAUGUGAGACUAUUGGGGCGUUACAAACUCCCCAUGUUUAAACCCUGACGUCCUCGUCGGGUCCUAACUAGAUCACAGAUAGACAGAACAGGAUCAGAAUUACCAGGCAAUGUGAGAUUCCAGAUGUGGCUUUUACGGGUUCAAGAGGUGGCUCCCACCAAACCCAUUGGUGUAGCACUUUGUCGAACAUAGUACUUAGCUCUCACACUUCCGGUUGGUAUUCGGCUUUGAUACCAAUUGCAACGACCCGACCCGCUAGCAAUAAUAACUCGUUAGGCCCAAACAACCGGCCAAAAAUGCUUAAGCCCAAUUAUUAUUACUGGCGUGUAGGCCUCAUAUAAACUGAUCGGAAUCAGUAUCUCAUCCGAUGUGGUACUAUUGGGGCGUUAUAAUGGGCAUUUCACCUUUGCCCUAAUCCAACAACAAUUACCCUAUUUUUUCACUCUCUCCUCUCUCUGUCUCUAGACGAAAUGGAGAAUCAUUUCUUCUA
This 600-nucleotide long non-coding RNA is filed under the name Ananas comosus (pineapple). RNAcentral describes it as "long non-coding RNA (ACOM_LNC030176)". The record is from RNAcentral. Lineage: Eukaryota; Viridiplantae; Streptophyta; Magnoliopsida; Poales; Bromeliaceae.